RNAcentral lists this ribosomal RNA (496 nucleotides) under uncultured bacterium. RNAcentral describes it as "partial 16S ribosomal RNA". It matches the Rfam family "Bacterial small subunit ribosomal RNA", at positions 28 to 506 of the family's 1533-position model. The record is from RNAcentral.
GAUGAACGCUGGCGGCGUGCCUAAUACAUGCAAGUCGAGCGGACAGACGAGGAGCUUGCUCCUCUGACGUUAGCGGCGGACGGGUGAGUAACACGUGGAUAACCUACCUAUAAGACUGGGAUAACUUCGGGAAACCGGAGCUAAUACCGGAUAAUAUAUUGAACCGCAUGGUUCAAUAGUGAAAGACGGUUUUGCUGUCACUUAUAGAUGGAUCCGCGCCGCAUUAGCUAGUUGGUAAGGUAACGGCUUACCAAGGCAACGAUGCGUAGCCGACCUGAGAGGGGGUUGGGCCCCACGGAAAUGGGAACCGGGCCCGAACCCCCAGGGGGGGAGGAGGUGGGAAUUUUCCCCAAAGGGGGAAAACCUUAAGGGGCAAAGCCGGGGGGGGGGAGGAGGGGUUUGGGAUCGAAAACCUUUUUUUUUGGGAAAAAAAAAAUGGGAAAGUAACUUUGCCCGUUUUAAGGUAACUAAAUAAAAAAGCCCCGCCAAACUCGGG